AAAAACGCUUCGAAUUUGACAGUUGACCUGAAAGCCAAUACCACACCGGUCACAUUUUCUGGCAUUGUUUGUUUAAAGCCGUUUUUCGUUGCAAGUUCUAAAUAUUUUACAAUUUAUGUGCCUUAAAACGGAACAAAACAAGGUAUGAGUAAAAUGCCUUCGAUUUUCGACACCCCACUUCCGGCUGAGCCGAAGAAACAGAAAAAGCGAGUCAACGAGUCCGGAGAACCGGACGGGGCUGCCCAGAAUGAAAAGCAAGCGAAAAAGAAGAAAACUACCGAGGGCGGCUUGUGUCAAGUUAGGAACAAAACGUUUUCAUAGCUAGGAACAAAACAUUUCAACCACUGCUAGUCAGUUUUGAAAUAUUUCACUAGACUAGCGCCAUCUAUGAUUCGCUAGAAUAAGCUCUGCUAUAAUGUUUUUAAGCUUUAUUUGGAACCGACUUAUACGUUUCUGUUAUUGUUAUUGGAUAGAAUUUUUAUUAGACAUAACUAAUGAACUGAAGAAAUACUUCUGGGGCCCUUCAGAUACCACGCGGACAGAAAAAUGAGAUUUUUGACCCUCUCGUCUCCCACCGUAGACAAGCGAAGACAAUUUUUCCAACAAAAAAAUUAAUUUUAAUGUUUGAAAAAUGUUGUUCAAAAACCUCGAUAAACUCGUAGCCACCCGAACAACCCAGUAUAGGAGGCACUACCAGAACUAGGGUUAGAGGCGAGUUAUAGGGUUUCAAAGUUCAGUAUGCAGAUUUUUUGUUGAAAAUAAAAAAAAAAUGCAAUUUCAAUGUUUGAAAAAUGUUGUUCAAAAACCUCGAUAUAAACUCGUAGCCACUAUAUCAGGAGUGUUCUAGAGACUGUCCCGAACAACCCAGUAUAGGUGGCACUACCAGAACUAGGGUCAGAGGCGAGUUAUAGGGUUUCAAAGUUCAGUAUGCAGAAUUUUUUUAAAAAUGAAAAAAAAAUGAAAUUUCAAUGUUUGAAAAAUGUUGUUCAAAAACCUCGAUAUAAACUCGUAGCCACUAUAUCAGGAGUGUUCUAGAGACUGUCCCGAACAACCCAGUAUAGGUGGCACUACCAGAACUAGGGUCAGAGGCGAGUUAUAGGGUUUCAAAGUUCAGUAUGCAGAACUUUUUUGAAAAUAAAAAAAAAUGCAAUUUCAAUGUUUGAAAAAUGUUGUUCAAAAACCUCGAUAUAAACUCGUAGCCACUGUAUCAGGAGUGUUCUAGAGACUGUCCCGAACAACCCAGUAUAGGUGGCACUACCAGAACUAGGGUCAGAGGCGAGUUAUAGGGUUUCAAAGUUCAGUAUGCAGAAUUUUUUUGAAAAUGAAAAAAAAUGCAAUUUCAAUGUUUGAAAAAUGUUGUUCAAAAACCUCGAUAUAAACUCGUAGCCACUAUAUCAGGAGUGUUCUAGAGACUGUCCCGAACAACCCAGUAUAGGUGGCACUACCAGAACUAGGGUCAGAGGCGAGUUAUAGGGUUUCAAAGUUCAGUAUGCAGAAUUUUUUUGAAAAUAAAAAAAAAAAAUGAAAUUUCAAUGUUUGAAAAAUGUUGUUCAAAAUCCUCGAUAUAAACUCGUAGCCACUAUAUCAGGAGUAUUCUAGAGACUGUCCCGAACAACCCAGUAUAGGUGGCACUACCAGAACUAGGGUCAGAGGCGAGUUAUAGGGUUUCAAAGUUCAGUAUGCAGAUUUUUCGUUGAAAAUAAAAAAAAAUGCAAAUUCAAUGUUUGAAAAAUGUUGUUCAAAAACCUCGAUAUAAACUCGUAGCCACUAUAUCAGGAGUGUUCUAGAGACUGUCCCGAACAACCCAGUAUAGGUGGCACUACCAGAACUAGGGUCAGAGGCGAGUUAUAGGGUUUCAAAGUUCAGUAUGCAGAUUUUUUGUUGAAAAUAAAAAAAAAUGCAAUUUCAAUGUUUGAAAAAUGUUGUUCAAAAACCUCGAUAUAAACUCGUAGCCACUAUAUCAGGAGUGUUCUAGAGACUGUCCCGAACAACCCAGUAUAGGUGGCACUACCAGAACUAGGGUCAGAGGCGAGUUAUAGGGUUUCAAAGUUCAGUAUGCAGAUUUUUUGUUGAAAAUAAAAAAAAUGCAUUUUCAAUGUUUGAAAAAAGUUGUUCAAAAACCUCGAUAUAAACUCGUAGCCACUAUAUCAGGAGUGUUCUAGAGACUGUCCCGAACAACCCAGUAUAGGUGGCACUACCAGAACUAGGGUCAGAGGCGAGUUAUAGGGUUUCAAAGUUCAGUAUGCAGAAUUUUUUUGAAAAUAAAAAAAAAAUGCAAUUUCAAUGUUUGAAAAAUGUUGUUCAAAAACCUCGAUAUAAACUCGUAGCCACUAUAUCAGGAGUGUUCUAGAGACUGUCCCGAACAACCCAGUAUAAGUGGCACUACCAGAACUAGGGUCAGAGGCAAGUUAUAGGGUUUCAAAGUUCAGUAUGCAGAAUUUUUUUGAAAAUAAAAAAAAAUGCAAUUUCAAUGUUUGAAAAAUGUUGUUCAAAAACCUCGAUAUAAACUCGUAACCACUAUAUCAGGAGUGUUCUAGAGACUGUCCCGAACAACCCAGUAUAGGUGGCACUACCAGAACUAGGGUCAGAGGCGAGUUAUAGGGUUUCAAAGUUCAGUAUGCAGAAUUUUUUUGAAAAUGAAAAAAAAAAUGAAAUUUCAAUGUUUGAAAAAUGUUGUUCAAAAUCCUCGAUAUAAACUCGUAGCCACUAUAUCAGGAGUGUUCUAGAGACUGUCCCAAACAACCCAGUAUAGGUGGCACUACCAGAACUAGGGUCAGAGGCGAGUUAUAGGGUUUCAAAGUUCAGUAUGCAGAACAUUUUUGAAAAUAAAAAAAAAUGCAAUUUCAAUGUUUGAAAAAUGUUGUUCAAAAACCUCGAUAUAAACUCGUAGCCACUAUAUCAGGAGUGUUCUAGAGACUGUCCCGAACAACCCAGUAUAGGUGGCACUACCAGAACUAGGGUCAGAGGCGAGUUAUAGGGUUUCAAAGUUCGGUAUGCAGAAUUUUUUUGAAAAUGAAAAAAAAAAUGCAAUUUCAAUGUUUGAAAAAUGUUGUUCAAAAACCUCGAUAUAAACUCGUAGCCACUAUAUCAGGAGUGUUCUAGAGACUGUCCCGAACAACCCAGUAUAGGUGGCACUACCAGAACUAGGGUCAGAGGCGAGUUAUAGGGUUUCAAAGUUCAGUAUGCAGAAUUUUUUUGAAAAUAAAAAAAAAAUGCAAUUUCAAUGUUUGAAAAAUGUUGUUCAAAAUCCUCGAUAUAAACUCGUAGCCACUAUAUCAGGAGUGUUCUAGAGACUGUCCCAAACAACCCAGUAUAGGUGGCACUACCAGAACUAGGGUCAGAGGCGAGUUAUAGGGUUUCAAAGUUCAGUAUGCAGAAUUUUUUUGAAAAUAAAAAAAAAUGCAAUUUCAAUGUUUGAAAAAUGUUGUUCAAAAACCUCGAUAUAAACUCGUAGCCACUAUAUCAGGAGUGUUCUAGAGACUGUCCCGAACAACCCAGUAUAGGUGGCACUACCAGAACUAGGGUCAGAGGCGAGUUAUAGGGUUUCAAAGUUCAGUAUGCAGAAUUUUUUUGAAAAUGAAAAGAAAUUGCAAUUUCAAUGUUUGAAAAAUGUUGUUCAAAAACCUCGAUAUAAACUCGUAGCCACUAUAUCAGGAGUGUUCUAGAGACUGUCCCGAACAACCCAGUAUAAGUGGCACUACCAGAACUAGGGUCAGAGGCGAGUUAUAGGGUUUCAAAGUUCAGUAUGCAGAAUUUUUUUGAAAAUGAAAAAAAAAAUGAAAUUUCAAUGUUUGAAAAAUGUUGUUCAAAAUCCUCGAUAUAAACUCGUAGCCACUAUAUCAGGAGUGUUCUAGAGACUGUCCCAAACAACCCAGUAUAGGUGGCACUACCAGAACUAGGGUCAGAGGCGAGUUAUAGGGUUUCAAAGUUCAGUAUGCAGAACUUUUUUGAAAAUAAAAAAAAUGCAAUUUCAAUGUUUGAAAAAUGUUGUUCAAAAACCUCGAUAUAAACUCGUAGCCACUAUAUCAGGAGUGUUCUAGAGACUAUCCCGAACAACCCAGUAUAAGUGGCACUACCAGAACUAGGGUCAGAGGCGAGUUAUAGGGUUUCAAAGUUCAGUAUGCAGAAUUUUUUUGAAAAUAAAAAAAAAAUGCAAUUUCAAUGUUUGAAAAAUGUUGUUCAAAAACCUCGAUAUAAACUCGUAGCCACUAUAUCAGGAGUGUUCUCGCUUAUUUUGAAAUACUCAGAGCCCGACUCCAUUUUACUCAGACAUCGCCGUUUGUAUGGCGCGUCCGUCGCUUGAUCUAAAACGACUCAGUUUUUCCGAGUGACGACUACUCAGAUGACUCGAAAAUUGACACUCAGCAAAUUUGAGAACUUGAAGGCGACAACUGAGUAAAUUUGGAUCAGUUUUUGCGAGGCAGUCGACUUUGUUUGUUUUCGACAACAAAUAAUUGAGAAAUUUAUAUGGGAAUCGCGAUGUUUUUUCUGUCGAAUCCGAGGUGCGUAAUAAAACAUUCAUCGAAUGCGUAGCAUAUUUACCGGCAGAAAAGUCCAGGAACGAACUAAAACAUCAUCUCAUCAAAAAACAGGCAUGCAGUGGUUGCGUUGGUCAAAAAGAAAAAUUUCCAAUCCGGUAACGCAGAAUAAAGUCCCGUAGGAGGCGUAUAACCCGGCGGGGGACAAACAGAAAAAUAAAAUAGUUCAACAUCAAGGAUAUUUUUUUAAAUAAAGAUUUAUGUGCAA
Long non-coding RNA from Uranotaenia lowii, 4746 nucleotides. RefSeq lists it as uncharacterized. Lineage: Eukaryota; Metazoa; Arthropoda; Insecta; Diptera; Culicidae. The record is from RefSeq and is a predicted model, not a curated record. The transcript has 3 exons.